GACGAACGCUGGCGGCGUGCCUAAUACAUGCAAGUAGAACGCUGAAGAGAGGAGCUUGCUCUUCUUGGAUGAGUUGCGAACGGGUGAGUAACGCGUAGGUAACCUGCCUUGUAGCGGGGGAUAACUAUUGGAAACGAUAGCUAAUACCGCAUAACAAUGGAUGACACAUGUCAUUUAUCUGAAAGGGGCAAUUGCUCCACUACAAGAUGGACCUGCGUUGUAUUAGCUAGUAGGUGAGGUAAUGGCUCACCUAGGCGACGAUACAUAGCCGACCUGAGAGGGUGAUCGGCCACACUGGGACUGAGACACGGCCCAGACGCCUACGGGAGGCAGCAGUAGGGAAUCUUCGGCAAGGGGGGCAACCCUGACCGAGCAACGCCGCGUGAGUGAAGAAGGUUGUCGGAUCGUAAAGCUCGGUUGUAAGUCAAGAACGGGUGUGAGAGUGGAAAGUUCACACUGUGACGGUAGCUGAACAGAAAGGGACGGCUAACUACGUG
This 497-nucleotide ribosomal RNA is filed under the name uncultured bacterium. RNAcentral describes it as "partial 16S ribosomal RNA". It matches the Rfam family "Bacterial small subunit ribosomal RNA", at positions 28 to 507 of the family's 1533-position model. The record is from RNAcentral.